GCAGCUCAGUGGUAGAGUGCUUGCCUUGCAUGCAUGAGGACCUGGGUUCGAUUCCUUAGCA
RNAcentral lists this transfer RNA (61 nucleotides) under Dipodomys ordii (Ord's kangaroo rat). It matches the Rfam family "tRNA". Rfam says of the family: Transfer RNA (tRNA) molecules are approximately 80 nucleotides in length. Their secondary structure includes four short double-helical elements and three loops (D, anti-codon, and T loops). Further hydrogen bonds mediate the characteristic L-shaped molecular structure. tRNAs have two regions of fundamental functional importance: the anti-codon, which is responsible for specific mRNA codon recognition, and the 3' end, to which the tRNAs corresponding amino acid is attached (by aminoacyl-tRNA synthetases). tRNAs cope with the degeneracy of the genetic code in two manners: having more than one tRNA (with a specific anti-codon) for a particular amino acid; and 'wobble' base-pairing, i.e. permitting non-standard base-pairing at the 3rd anti-codon position. Lineage: Eukaryota; Metazoa; Chordata; Mammalia; Rodentia; Heteromyidae. The record is from Rfam by way of RNAcentral.